GUCUAUGGCCAUGCCACCCUGAAUGUGCCUGAUCUCGUUUGAUCUCAGAACCUAAGCAGGGUCGGGCCUGGUUAGUACUUGGAUGAGAGACCACCUAGGAAGACUGGGUGCUGUAGGCA
This 119-nucleotide ribosomal RNA is filed under the name Pteropus alecto (black flying fox). The record is from RNAcentral. Lineage: Eukaryota; Metazoa; Chordata; Mammalia; Chiroptera; Pteropodidae.